AUACAAUUUCAUUAGUGAAAUAGUCAAGUAUAAUUUUUUCUACAAAUAACUUCCAUUCGAGAAAAAGUGUGGUUAAGGUAAACAGAUUAAAUUUACCUCCGUCAUUUUCUAUCGAUUACAUAAAGGAUGCAUUAAUGACAUGGUAAUUUAAUGGUAAUACUGCUCUUGUUCAAAUGGAUAUUGAAAACUGAUUCCAGUGUCUGCAGGAAAACACGAGUUCACUGUGGAUUUUUAUAUUUUAACAUGCCACAUGGUCAUUUUUCAUGAUCCUGUCUUUCUCCUGAUAGGGAAUCCCCAGACGACCUCAUAAUAGUGUAUGUCUUUUAAUUUCGUAUUGCUGUCCUGCCAUGUUUGAUACUACCUAGAUUUUGUUUAGUAAGAAAUAUUAUGCUAUAUAACAGGUAAUUUUACAUGCAAUAUAAAUUAAUUUUAGCUUUCUUGCUUAUUUUUAGAAAUAUCCGAAAUGGCAGAAGAUCCAGUGAAGAACGCACUCCAGCAAAUCAGGAGUGGCUUGAUGAAGGCGAGCAGCAAUACUGUAAACAUUGAUGACGUGGAACAGUGUUGCCGCAACGCUAUAGAGCAACUAGAAAAAAAAGUGAGAGAACAUCCCGAAAAUGGAGAAGAUUCAGGACAGGUAAGA
Zootermopsis nevadensis is the source of this 640-nucleotide non-coding RNA. NCBI's taxonomy places the organism in Eukaryota, Metazoa, Arthropoda, Insecta, Blattodea, Termopsidae. The record is from RefSeq and is a predicted model, not a curated record.